CAGAAAGCACAGAAGUUUACCUGACUGCGACAAUAGAGGAGAGCUGUAGCAGACGUGCAGAAGUUGCUGCGAAAUCUCCAGAAAUGGCUUGUCAAAUUGCCUUUCGGUUUGGCUGCUCAUCUGCCAACACUGUGAACACCAGGUGUGGCAGUGUUGUUCUCGACUUCAUGAUGAGGUUCAAUCAAAG
This is a long non-coding RNA of Stylophora pistillata, 187 nucleotides long. Lineage: Eukaryota; Metazoa; Cnidaria; Anthozoa; Scleractinia; Pocilloporidae. The record is from RefSeq and is a predicted model, not a curated record.